Molecule: long non-coding RNA, 1338 nt
Filed under: Homo sapiens (human)
Lineage: Eukaryota; Metazoa; Chordata; Mammalia; Primates; Hominidae
Description: HSALNT0363135
Source: RNAcentral
UUCUCAUUUUUCUACUGCUCGUGGUAAGUGGCUUCGUGGUCUUUAUAGCUGUUACUCUUUUGUACUUUGUCUUUUUCUUUUAUUUUCUUUUGAGCGAUUGUGCGAACAUAGCAUAGCACGCACUAUGCCUUCUGUGUUGUAGCUGCCUGGCCAGGGCGACUGGCGGAUAAGGUCUUGUGCGUGGCCUCGAGGCUUAAAAGUAGCAGUGGGGCUUUGUGAAGGACAAAAUGGCGAUGGCGGGCCGUGAUUUACGCGCACGUUGGAACCGAAGAGAGCUCUGUUGUUGCAAUGUUCAGCCCACAAGAGCUUACUGGUGAAGGAAUGGGACAAGACCCAUCUUUAUGCAAAGCCAGCGUUACAGUAAUGUUCCAGCAUCUCAUAAUCUAUCCUGGGGAAUUCAGCUGCCUCCCAGGGUGAAUACAGGUAUUCCUGAUGACAGUCUGCCUCUAUCUUACAGAGCAGCUUGUUGCUAUAUACCAUUGAAAAGCCUUCAGAGCUGAGAGGUACUACUAACCAAUAACCUGCUUGGCUCAAAGGGCCAGCACCUUCUCUCUAAAGCCCAAGAGGAGUUUGAGGAAAACUAGGUGUCUGUGUUCACUCCAGGCUGAAGUUACAGGUCUGAGCAAAUAAGGUGUAUAAAAAAUGGAAUCUGUCUUGGAGGACAUCAGAAGGUGAAUUUUCCAAGUUCUUGGACAACCUAGCUGUUGAAAAGCUUUCUGGGUUUGGGGGGUAUUUCAGAUGUACCUUAAAGUGUUAGCAGACACAGAUUAAGACACUGGGAGCCAAUGAAACAGCAGUUGAGGGUUUGCUGUGUAUCACAUUUCUGUAUUUUAUCACCCCCUUCCUGCAACAUUAUUUAUCUGGAAUCUACCUGCCCUUUUGUUUUUUAGAUACAAGGGCUUGGUUUUGUUACCCAGGCUGGUUUCAAGGCCAUAGCUUUAAGAGAUCCUCUCACCACAGAUUUCCAAAGUGCUGGGAUUGCAGGUGUGAUUCAUGGCACCCAGACUUUGCUGCCUUUCUUACAUGAUCCAGGCCCAGAACCCAAACUCAGGCACUGUAUAGAUGACCACUUUCGUAAACUACUGACCUAGCUUGUUGCCAAUUGUUGAUUGAACUUCCCAUAACUCCACUUCGUGUCUGUUCCUCUGUAUACAGCCACCUUCUGUUCCCGUCAUGAGCCUUUAGGUCUCCAUUUGCAUAUUGCAAAUACUAUGUUCCAUGUAGGUAGCUCAUUCAGGGCCUUGCUCUUCACUUCAAAAAAGGUUCCCUUGAGGACUGGCUGUCAAUUUGUGUUGCUGUGUUGGUUGUUGAUGAAAAUAAUAAAAUGAUUGAUUACAU